RNAcentral lists this ribosomal RNA (468 nucleotides) under uncultured bacterium. Its description in RNAcentral is "partial 16S ribosomal RNA". It matches the Rfam family "Bacterial small subunit ribosomal RNA", at positions 28 to 507 of the family's 1533-position model. The record is from RNAcentral.
GACGAACGCUGGCGGCGUGCUUAACACAUGCAAGUCGAACGGAAAGGCCCUGCUUUUGUGGGGUGCUCGAGCGGCGAACGGGUGAGUAACACGUGAGUAACCUGCCCUUGACUUUGGGAUAACUUCAGGAAACUGGGGCUAAUACCGGAUAGGAGCUCCUGCUGCACGGUGGGGGUUGGAAAGUUUCGGCGGUUGGGGAUGGACUCGCGGCUUAUCAGCUUGUUGGUGGGGUAGUGGCUUACCAAGGCUUUGACGGGUAGCCGGCCUGAGAGGGUGACCGGCCACAUUGGGACUGAGAUACGGCCCAGACUCCUACGGGAGGCAGCAGUGGGGAAUAUCGCACAAUGGGCGGAAGCCUGAUGCAGCAACGCCGCGUGCGGGAUGACGGCCUUCGGGUUGUAAACCGCUUUCGCCUGUGACGAAGCGUGAGUGACGGUAAUGGGUAAAGAAGCACCGGCUAACUACGUG